Molecule: long non-coding RNA, 381 nt
Filed under: Homo sapiens (human)
Lineage: Eukaryota; Metazoa; Chordata; Mammalia; Primates; Hominidae
Description: non-protein coding lnc-APBB1IP-1:18
Source: RNAcentral
AUGAGUCAAGCUUUGUGUCAAAAGGACAAAUUAAAAGGACCUAUAAAUGGCACCACCCAGCCCAAUGGACAGAUGCCCCAGGCUGCAGAUUCUGUCAGUGCUGUUCUCGAAGAGGCCCAGGCACAUGCUGAAACAUGGAAGGUAAAACCAGCAAGCAGCUGGCAUACAUUCCACCCAGCCGUCCCCCAGGAGAAUUGCUUGAGCUCCGGAGUUCCAGACCAGCCUGGGCAACAGAACAAGGGCUCAUCUCUACUAGAAAUCAAAAAAUUAGCCAGGAUAAGAAGCCAGCCCUCGGGAACCACCAGGAGCCAGGAGCACCCCCGGCCCCCCAAGGCCCCAAGUCCAGCCUGCCCCACCCCCUCCGGUGCAGAGGUCCUGUGA